AGUGAACGCUGGCGGUAGGCCUAACACAUGCAAGUCGAACGGCAGCACAGUAAGAGCUUGCUCUUACGGGUGGCGAGUGGCGGACGGGUGAGGAAUACAUCGGAAUCUACUUUUUCGUGGGGGAUAACGUAGGGAAACUUACGCUAAUACCGCAUACGACCUACGGGUGAAAGCAGGGGAUCUUCGGACCUUGCGCGAUUGAAUGAGCCGAUGUCGGAUUAGCUAGUUGGCGGGGUAAAGGCCCACCAAGGCGACGAUCCGUAGCUGGUCUGAGAGGAUGAUCAGCCACACUGGAACUGAGACACGGUCCAGACUCCUACGGGAGGCAGCAGUGGGGAAUAUUGGACAAUGGGCGCAAGCCUGAUCCAGCCAUACCGCGUGGGUGAAGAAGGCCUUCGGGUUGUAAAGCCCUUUUGUUGGGAAAGAAAAGCAGCAGGUUAAUACCCCGCUGUCCUGACGGUACCCAAAGAAUAAGCACCGGCUAACUUCAUG
Molecule: ribosomal RNA, 492 nt
Filed under: uncultured bacterium
Lineage: Bacteria
Description: partial 16S ribosomal RNA
Rfam family: Bacterial small subunit ribosomal RNA
Source: RNAcentral